AAUAAUCUUUCGUUCCAAUGGCAAAACUCGAUGACAGAUGUUUCUGUCACUUUACGGCCGCCAUGUUGGUGCCCCUCGGAAGGGCACCAACUUGAUGGCUUCUCCAUGCAAAGCUCUACAGAUUUGGGUGACACACUUUUCCGAAUAAGGCGCGAAUGAAAAACCACACAGACCUAAAUCUUGCCGAGGGUGUUUAUACAUCAGUCAUCUAUCAUAUCCCACAUUCUUGACUUGUGACAGUGUAAACCAGCAAAUUAGAAAAAAUAAUCAACAAAGUAAACCUCUGUUAAAUGUAAGUGGACUUGAUAAAUAGUGUUAUGGAGCUUUCCGUAUUCCCUUUUACUAUAGUUUGCUCUAACAUAUUUCUUUGUUUUGUGGUAAAGAGCGACUUUGGGGAAAUAGGCGGCGAAAGACUCAAAGAGAUGCAAUUCUCUGAUUUUACAAUAAAUUUGCGUAACACCCUCACAUCAACGUGACCGAACGUGACCUGGGUCACAGAUAUGUUACGCUGCUUAGCAACGCAGCCUCCACUGACGCCUCUGAAGAUAAACGCGGGCUCAGAUAGUGCUUCUACACUCAGUAAUGACCAAACAUUCCUUGUCCCACGUCACACUCGGACUCCCAAAAAGGAUGAUGGCCAAAUCAUUACGUAACAAUUUCGUGAAAUACUGAAGACUUCAGGGGUAUGAUAACACGGUUCAUUUAAUUUGCGGCCAACCCAACCCAAACUUUUAUUAAAUCGAAGUACAAAUUGUUUGAAUUCCAGCCAAAGCUAAUGUUUCUGUUAACAUUUGUUUAACCAUGUUGUUAAUUCGUACAAAAAAUUGUGUGCCCGCUGUUCCUGUUAGGUUUUCCCGCUGAGGCUUCAAGGUUUUAUAUUAGACACUUGUAGACUGUUUCCUUUGUUGAAAGAUUAAACAGAAUCUCUUUUAAAAUGUUUCCUUUCCCAAAUUUUUAACGAAAGCAGUUUUGAAAGUCUUGCUACUGCAAGGAUGUUAAUUUUACACCUGUGCGGAGCUCUGCAGCUGAUAGUUUGGAGAUCGUAGAAGCAAGACGGCAUCGGACCAAAUAGUAACCACAAUAUAAUCUCCCCAUUCAUUUUCAACCCAUAAUCAAAUGGACAGUUGAUGAUAAUGAGAACUAAUGAAAAUCUUAACGAAUUCCUGAUCAAGUUCAAAGAACUCAUCAGUUUAAACUGACGAAAUGUUGAACAAUCUAUCUCUAAAAGAAAUUCAUCUUGAGUAAAUGUAAUUUUCGUAACGAUCUUGGGUUUUCGUAUCAAACACACGCUCACUGGAUCAACCGAAAAUUUACAGACAACAACGAUGUCUUUAGAGGAAUGUAUAACCACUCUCUAAAAAGCCACGUCUUCACUUGACUGUUUCAUAUAAGUCUGGGAUACCGAAUAGAACACUUACCUUUUAUGGAAAACAUAGUUUCCCAGGGAGUUGAGUUGGAUUGCAAGAUCUCAGUAGAGAGGCUACCUCAAACAUACGUGGCAAUUACCGCCGCGAGAUUAAUAAGCUGUCCGCUAUAAUACUAUGCUACAAUUCGUUUCCCAAUUGUAAAACUGCACUUGAUCAAAUGUAACUUUGGUGCAACGUGUUUAACCAAGAUAGCUUCUUUAAUUCACUCAGAACUGAUCAAGGGUAAAAUGUUUGAAAUGACAUUAGGCACCGUAGAGACAUGCCACAGCAUGUGUUGAUUUUACAGACAUUUGAAAAAUAUUCCAAAGUUCCUCUGGAUUCAACUGAAGAAUUUUAAAAGCGGUAACUGAUCCUGUUCCAGCUGAUUGUGAUCCAGUUUAGAUUGCUUUUCCACUUUCGUACUUAGAGACGUAAAAAAAAAAAAAAUAAAUAAAUAAAAUAAAUUACGGAUGUGAAAUAAAUCAGUACUAGAUUUCGAUCAGCAUGCGUCAUUCAGUUUGACGUUAGAAAAAAAUGUUAGUUUAGAUUAGGACAGCAUUUUAACAAAUUCAUACAAUCCUAUAUCUAAGAUCUAUUCAUUUCGUAUCAAAGAUACUGCCCAGUGAAAAUCAGAGUUUGGAUUAAAGUGGCUCGAUCACGUAACCAUGACAUCCAAGACUGUUACUGUGUUCAAGAAAUGUCACUCUCCAUUUAGUAAACGAGCGAUCGUUUGUACAAACGGACGACAACUUACAACGCAACAUUAGGUAUUGAAUCAUUAAAACAAGAUGUCAAAGAACCACUUACGAUUAGUGUCAGCGUCCUGUGCAACAAUGUAUAAGUUUAGAUAAGCCACAAUUAACAAGAUUACUGUAAAGCCCUGAUAUGUCGGCAGACACUCCAUUCUUGCGGUGAAGAGUUGUUUCCGGUCAGAGCUGUUUGAACCUCGACGAAUUCUGACCAAAAAUGUCGUCCGCUGUGUUCAUCCUAAGGCAAAAAAAUACGAGUUAUUUAAGAUGUUUUGUUUAUGUUAGGGUCAUGAAAUAACACAGCGGUUGUCUCGUCCUCAAAGGCGUCCCGUAAACAGGGCAAUAUUUCAUAAUCAUUUGUUUUGUUCAUGCUUGUCAUUCAUGGAAUGCUCAGACUUGUUUGCGUCUAAUAUUUCACUCCCCGCUCAACUUGUUGAUAAAACGAAGUUUUGGAGGGAUUUAUACUGCUGCGGAGGCAAAAAGGUAGGUAUCAGUGUUCCGGGGGGGAUGCCAUAUAAAAAGGACGGGGGUGGUAGCCUGAAAUCUUGAAAAGAACCCCUAAGAAAAUUGUUUCCUUAAAAUUUUUCUCACAAUUUAAUUUCCAACAGAGAUUUCCGGAAACGUAUGAGAGAUGACCUCAAAACCUGAUACAUUUCGCAUCUUGCACCAUUCCAUUUCUCGUUUAGAUUUGAAUUGCAAAUAAUUACUUUUGAUUAUUCAUGUUUUCAUCAUCACCUUGACACGCCAAGAGCGCAAGAAAGAAAUAUGUCGCUCUAUCGACGGUCUUGUCGUAGCUAUCUCUCCAUAGCCAUCUUCAUGCUCUUUGGCAGUUUAAAAUUUUUGUCUAAAAGGGUAAGGUUAUAGACAGAAACGAGCAAUGGCGAACUUUGGAGGAGCGAAGUCGCUCAAGAGCCAGCAGUACACACGUGGGAAGUUGGACGAUAAAACAGAGUUCAAAACUGGACCGUUACAAGAUGUAAGCAGAGCUGAAUGUGCAAUAAACAGGUUUAUGCAGGUGAGAAUGGAAGGCAACUGGAGGAUGGAAUCUGUUUGGCUGACAGACGAGAGCCUGGGACGAGUUCGUUAUGCUCGGCAGAGUUUACCGCGGUCCUCGAAGGCAUAGAUCUGGUUGGUUCUAACAGGCACGCAGAUGUUGAGCGGAGUGCCAUAGUCCACGUAAAUGAGAACUGAAAAUGCCAGUUCACUCAGUCAAGUAAUUGAUGACCAAGAGACUGCAAAGCUGGAAUACAAUCAGUUUUUAGUAUUGACUGGUGAGCAAAAUUGUACUUUCUAAAUAUGUGAAAGUAAAUUAAUAGACAGCAUGAAAUUCUUUUGUAUCAAUAGUACACAUCAUCCAACCCUUGUAUAAAAGCAGAGCUCUCAAGUCUUACACACACUAAGUGUGAGACUUGGGCAAGCAAAUCAUUAUUCAAUCCUUAUUGACCCCCGUAUGCUAAAACUUAUUUCUUGCAAGGUAAGGUUUUUGAUUGAAGCAG
Molecule: long non-coding RNA, 3651 nt
Organism: Orbicella faveolata
Lineage: Eukaryota; Metazoa; Cnidaria; Anthozoa; Scleractinia; Merulinidae
Source: RefSeq, a predicted model, not a curated record